Molecule: ribosomal RNA, 414 nt
Filed under: uncultured microorganism
Description: bacterial SSU rRNA
Rfam family: Bacterial small subunit ribosomal RNA
Source: RNAcentral
GAGUUUGAUCGUGGCUCAGAUUGAACGCUGGCGGCAUGCCUUACACAUGCAAGUCGAACGGCAGCAUGAUCUAGCUUGCUAGAUUGAUGGCGAGUGGCGAACGGGUGAGUAAUACAUCGGAACGUGCCCUGUAGUGGGGGAUAACUAGUCGAAAGAUUAGCUAAUACCGCAUACGACCUGAGGGUGAAAGUGGGGGACCGCAAGGCCUCAUGCUAUAGGAGCGGCCGAUGUCUGAUUAGCUAGUUGGUGGGGUAAAGGCCCACCAAGGCGACGAUCAGUAGCUGGUCUGAGAGGACGAUCAGCCACACUGGGACUGAGACACGGCCCAGACUCCUACGGGAGGCAGCAGUGGGGAAUUUUGGACAAUGGGCGAAAGCCUGAUCCAGCAAUGCGCGUGUGUGAAGAAGGCCUCGG